GAUGAACGCUGGCGGCGUGCCUAAUACAUGCAAGUCGAGCGAACAGACGAGGAGCUUGCUCCUCUGACGUUAGCGGCGGACGGGUGAGUAACACGUGGAUAACCUACCUAUAAGACUGGGAUAACUUCGGGAAACCGGAGCUAAUACCGGAUAAUAUAUUGAACCGCAUGGUUCAAUAGUGAAAGACGGUUUUGCUGUCACUUAUAGAUGGAUCCGCGCCGCAUUAGCUAGUUGGUAAGGUAACGGCUUACCAAGGCGACGAUGCGUAGCCGACCUGAGAGGGUGAUCGGCCACACUGGAACUGAGACACGGUCCAGACUCCUACGGGAGGCAGCAGUAGGGAAUCGUCCGCAAUGGGCGAAAGCCUGACGGAGCAACGCCGCGUGAGUGAUGAAGGUCUUCGGAUCGUAAAACUCUGUUAUUAGGGAAGAACAAAUGUGAAAGUAACUAUGCACGUCUUGACGGUACCUAAUCAGAAAGCCACGGCUAACUACGUG
This 497-nucleotide ribosomal RNA is filed under the name uncultured bacterium. Its description in RNAcentral is "partial 16S ribosomal RNA". It matches the Rfam family "Bacterial small subunit ribosomal RNA", at positions 28 to 507 of the family's 1533-position model. The record is from RNAcentral.